GAUUUCUGGCUUGAUGUGCUUGGCCCGCCGCGGCUUCGCGUGUGAGUGCCGGGUCGCGUCUGCCAUCCUUCUAGGGAACGCUUCUACCCUUCAUUGGGCCGGGAGUCGCAAUCUAGAUCUUUUACUUUGAAAAAAUUAGAGUGUUUAAAGCAGGCUUUUGCUAUGAAUACAUUAGCAUGGAAUAAUAAUUUAGGACUUCGGUUCUAUUUUGUUGGUUUCUAGGACUGAAGUAAUGAUUGAUAGGGAUAGUUGGGGGUGCUAGUAUUCAGUGGCCAGAGGUGAAAUUCUCGGAUUCACUGAAGACUAACUUAUGCGAAAGCAUU
RNAcentral lists this ribosomal RNA (323 nucleotides) under uncultured Allapsidae. Its description in RNAcentral is "SSU rRNA". The stretch from base 81 to 323 matches the Rfam family "Eukaryotic small subunit ribosomal RNA", at positions 711 to 955 of the family's 1831-position model. The record is from RNAcentral. Lineage: Eukaryota; Cercozoa; Glissomonadida; Viridiraptoridae.